CGGGCUGUGGCGCAGUUUGGUAGCGCACCACACUGGGGGUGUGGGGGUCGCAGGUUCAAAUCCUGUCAGCCCGACCA
This 77-nucleotide transfer RNA is filed under the name Skermania sp. ID1734. RNAcentral describes it as "tRNA-Pro". It matches the Rfam family "tRNA". Rfam says of the family: Transfer RNA (tRNA) molecules are approximately 80 nucleotides in length. Lineage: Bacteria; Bacillati; Actinomycetota; Actinomycetes; Mycobacteriales; Gordoniaceae. The record is from RNAcentral.